This 580-nucleotide ribosomal RNA is filed under the name uncultured bacterium. RNAcentral's name for it is "partial 16S ribosomal RNA". It matches the Rfam family "Bacterial small subunit ribosomal RNA", at positions 355 to 1376 of the family's 1533-position model. The record is from RNAcentral.
UAAGGAAUAUUGGUCAAUGGACGCAAGUCUGAACCAGCCAUGCCGCGUGAAGGAUUAAGGUCCUCUGGAUUGUAAACUUCUUUUAUCUGGGACGAAAAAAGGCGAUUCUUCGUCACUUGACGGUACCAGAUGAAUAAGCACCGGCUAACUCCGUGCCAGCAGCCGCGGUAAUACGGAGGGUGCAAGCGUUAUCCGGAUUCACUGGGUUUAAAGGGUGCGUAGGCGGGCAGGUAAGUCAGUAGUGAAAUCCUGGAGCUUAACUCCAGAACUGCCAUUGAUACUAUCUGUCUUGAAUAUUGUGGAGGUAAGCGGAAUAUGUCAUGUAGCGGUGAAAUGCUUAGAUAUGACAUAGAACACCUAUUGCGAAGGCAGCUUACUACGCAUAUAUUGACGCUGAGGCACGAAAGCGUGGGGAUCAAACAGGAUUAGAUACCCUGGUAGUCCACGCCCUAAACGAUGGAUACUCGACAUACGCGAUACACUGUGUGUGUCUGAGCGAAAGCAUUAAGUAUCCCCACCUGGGAAGUACGACCGCAAGGUUGAAACUCAAAUGAAUUGACGGGGUCAUAGCUGUUUCCUG